ACAAUAUUACUUGAACACGAUCUGUUCUAUAGAAUAGUAUUACUGAGUCCUUGAUUUCAAAGGAGACAGAAACAUGAAUCUGAAAUUUAGGGUAUAAGGAUG
RNAcentral lists this small nucleolar RNA (102 nucleotides) under Trifolium pratense (red clover). Its description in RNAcentral is "snoRNA Plant_U3". Lineage: Eukaryota; Viridiplantae; Streptophyta; Magnoliopsida; Fabales; Fabaceae. The record is from RNAcentral.